GCCCGGAGAUGGACUCUGAAACACGAGUCCGGCCCUACGGGGCGCAGCUGGCGCGAAAACUUCGCAAUGCGGAUACUGUGACGAGGGAACUCCAAGUGUCCAUGCAUUGCAUGGACUGUUUGCCAGCCUAAAAAGCUGGUAAAGUAAGGGGUGGGAAAGACCGGUGCCAGCCGCCGCGGUAACACCGGCACAUCAAGUGGUAGCCACUAUUAAUUGGGCCUAAAGCGUUUCGUAAUCCGGCUUG
This 244-nucleotide ribosomal RNA is filed under the name uncultured Methermicoccus sp. RNAcentral's name for it is "partial 16S ribosomal RNA". It matches the Rfam family "Archaeal small subunit ribosomal RNA", at positions 288 to 533 of the family's 1478-position model. Lineage: Archaea; Methanobacteriati; Methanobacteriota; Methanomicrobia; Methanosarcinales; Methermicoccaceae. The record is from RNAcentral.